Molecule: long non-coding RNA, 251 nt
Filed under: Durio zibethinus
Lineage: Eukaryota; Viridiplantae; Streptophyta; Magnoliopsida; Malvales; Malvaceae
Description: long non-coding RNA (DZIB_LNC002191)
Source: RNAcentral
UUUGCCCCUUUUAACCUCUACCACAUAUGCCCUCCCCUGGUUUCAAUCUCCUCCUGCUAAAGUCAUUAUAUGGGAAAGUUCCAGCCUUUAUUGGUUUUCAUGCUGCUUGUCAUGUGAAUGGAUCAUGUGUAACUUAGAAGGUUUUUGACCAUGGAAAUGGAUUCUCCGGUAGAAUACAUCACUUUCACCGUGAUCACCAAAGGGGGUGUAAGAAAAUCAGGAUUUGAUUCGCUCCUUUUGAAAUAAAUUCU